This 61-nucleotide microRNA precursor is filed under the name Rattus norvegicus (Norway rat). Its description in RNAcentral is "Rno-Mir-92-P1c_pre stem-loop". It matches the Rfam family "mir-92 microRNA precursor family", at positions 11 to 69 of the family's 80-position model. Rfam says of the family: This family represents the microRNA precursor mir-92. Human miR-92 has two predicted hairpin precursor sequences: mir-92-1 on chromosome 13 and mir-92-2 on chromosome X. miR-92 has also been cloned from mouse embryonic stem cells. Lineage: Eukaryota; Metazoa; Chordata; Mammalia; Rodentia; Muridae. The record is from RNAcentral.
AGGUGGGGAUUAGUGCCAUUACUUGUGUUAGAUAAAAAGUAUUGCACUUGUCCCGGCCUGA